GACGAACGCUGGCGGCGUGCCUAAUACAUGCAAGUUGAGCGAUGAAGAUUGGUGCUUGCACCAAUUUGAAGAGCAGCGAACGGGUGAGUAACGCGUGGGGAAUCUGCCUUUGAGCGGGGGACAACAUUUGGAAACGAAUGCUAAUACCGCAUAACAACUUUAAACAUAAGUUUUAAGUUUGAAAGAUGCAAUUGCAUCACUCAAAGAUGAUCCCGCGUUGUAUUAGCUAGUUGGUGAGGUAAAGGCUCACCAAGGCGAUGAUACAUAGCCGACCUGAGAGGGUGAUCGGCCACAUUGGGACUGAGACACGGCCCAAAAUCCUACGGGAGGCAGCAGUAGGGAAUCUUCGGCAAUGGACGAAAGGCUGACCGAGCAACGCCGCGUGAGUGAAGAAGGUUUUCGGAUCGUAAAACUCUGUUGGUAGAGAAGAAAGUUGGUGAGAGUGGAAAGCUCAUCAAGUGACGGUAACUACCCAGAAAGGGACGGCUAACUACGUG
This 497-nucleotide ribosomal RNA is filed under the name uncultured bacterium. Its description in RNAcentral is "partial 16S ribosomal RNA". It matches the Rfam family "Bacterial small subunit ribosomal RNA", at positions 28 to 507 of the family's 1533-position model. The record is from RNAcentral.